CAGUAGCCACGGUAAUACGGUGGGUGCAAGCGUUAAUCGGAAUUACUGGGCGUAAAGCGCACGCAGGCGGUCUGUCAAGUCAGAUGUGAAAUCCCCGGGCUUAACCUGGGAACUGCAUUUGAAACUGGCAGGCUAGAGUCUUGUAGAGGGGGGUAGAAUUCCAGGUGUAGCGGUGAAAUGCGUAGAGAUCUGGAGGAAUACCGGUGGCGAAGGCGGCCCCCUGGACAAAGACUGACGCUCAGGUGCGAAAGCGUGGGGAGCAAACAGGAUUAGAUACCCGUGUAGUCCCUGUCUCUUAUAC
RNAcentral lists this ribosomal RNA (301 nucleotides) under uncultured bacterium. RNAcentral's name for it is "partial 16S ribosomal RNA". It matches the Rfam family "Bacterial small subunit ribosomal RNA", at positions 509 to 807 of the family's 1533-position model. The record is from RNAcentral.